This 95-nucleotide transfer RNA is filed under the name Streptomyces filamentosus. RNAcentral describes it as "tRNA-Pro". The record is from RNAcentral. Lineage: Bacteria; Bacillati; Actinomycetota; Actinomycetes; Kitasatosporales; Streptomycetaceae.
CUCGGUCGCGGCGGGGGCUUCGGCCGCGGCCGGGGCGGGCUCGGCGGCGGGCUGUUCGGCGGCCGGGGUCACCGGGGCGACGCCGGCGACCGGGA